This 75-nucleotide transfer RNA is filed under the name Staphylococcus aureus. RNAcentral describes it as "tRNA-Gly". It matches the Rfam family "tRNA". From Rfam's summary of the family: Transfer RNA (tRNA) molecules are approximately 80 nucleotides in length. Their secondary structure includes four short double-helical elements and three loops (D, anti-codon, and T loops). Lineage: Bacteria; Bacillati; Bacillota; Bacilli; Caryophanales; Staphylococcaceae. The record is from RNAcentral.
GCAGAAUUAGUUCAGCGGUAGAAUACAACCUUGCCAAGGUUGGGGUCGCGGGUUCGAAUCCCGUCUUCUGCUCCA